GGUUCAGGUGGUUAGCGAGGAUGCAGUGGUGCUGCGCCGGGAGGAAAGGGAACUGGCGCCGGGAGCUAAGCAGGAGCAGCAGCAGGGCGCGAAUCCUGGACUUGGAGAUGAAGACGAUGAUGGCGCGGCGAAUGACGAGCCUGUAGACAAAGGAGAAAAGGAUGACGACGGCGCGGCGAAUGACGAGCCUGUAGACAAAGGAGAAAAGGAUGACGACGGCGCGGCGAAUGACGAACCUGUAGACAAAGGGGAAAAGGAUGACGACGGCGCGGCGAAUGACGAGCCUGUAGACAAAGGAGAAAAGGAUGACGACGGCGCGGCGAAUGACGAGCCUGUAGACAAAGGAGAAAAGGAUGACGACGGCGCGGCGAAUGACGAGCCUGUAGACAAAGGGGAAAAGGAUGACGACGGCGCGGCGAAUGACGAGCCUGUAGACAAAGGAGAAAAGGAUGACGACGGCGCGGCGAAUGACGAACCUGUAGACAAAGGGGAAAAGGAUGACGACGGCGCGGCGAAUGACGAGCCUGUAGACAAAGGAGAAAAGGAUGACGACGGCGCGGCGAAUGACGAGCCUGUAGACAAAGGGGAAAAGGAUGACGACGGCGCGGCGAAUGACGAACCCUUAGAUAAGGGCGAUAAAGAUGAAGAUGAGCCUCAGGGCGACGUGUUGGCUACGGGCGGCGAUGGAAUGGUCACCCCCGUCGGCGACAACGACGAUGACGGUGCCCAAAACGACGCUCCAGGGAACCUAGACGAGGAUGACGACACGGCGGAGGAGGGCGCCGCCGCCGCUGGCGCGAACACCACUGUUGGCGGCGGAAACCAAAGUGCUGCUGCCGCCGCUGCUGCCAUCGAUGUCGGCGCGGGCGCCGACGGCAGCAGCGUAUCUGCAUUAGAGGGCUCUUCGCGUCCCGGAGCGGUUGACGGCAGCACGGACUAUGACAAUGACAACGACCAGAGCGACUUGUACGUGGAUGUGGACCCCGAUGUGGAGGACUACGACGCCAAUCAGGACGUGGACCCCAAGAAACUGGUGCAGAGGGGGCAGUCGCAGAAACAGAAGCAAGGCGAACAGGAGCAAACGCCGCAAAAGCAGAAAGCGGAAAAGCAGGAUGUUGAAAAGGCGGGGCAGCAGGAGCAGCAG
Molecule: long non-coding RNA, 1144 nt
Filed under: Volvox carteri
Lineage: Eukaryota; Viridiplantae; Chlorophyta; Chlorophyceae; Chlamydomonadales; Volvocaceae
Description: long non-coding RNA (VCAR_LNC001579)
Source: RNAcentral